Eurytemora carolleeae is the source of this 525-nucleotide long non-coding RNA. RefSeq lists it as uncharacterized. The transcript has 2 exons. The record is from RefSeq and is a predicted model, not a curated record. NCBI's taxonomy places the organism in Eukaryota, Metazoa, Arthropoda, Copepoda, Calanoida, Temoridae.
CUGGCUUUUUCAUUUUUUUUAUUUAAUUUUAAAAGUUUAAAAUUAAUGGUCCUAAGUUGAUUAAAGUUUUUUUCUUCCUAUUGUUGGCAAGAAUCUAGAAUUUGUACAUUUAAGAAACCCUAAAUGAAAAUAAUCAAUAUUGUAAGUGCCUAAAAAAAGAACAUGCACAGAAAUUAUUAAUGUACAUGAUUAAGAAAAUAUUAUUGUAUGAUUAUCUUGAAGGUUUUGUUACGAAAACUUUUGUUUUAUUUUAGUUGUUAUUAUUGAGCUUAAACCUAAUAUCAAAAUGUUGAAAACUUCAAGAUCUCUUCAUAAUAUUGUCAAAGCUUACAUAUGAAAUUAUUAGUCUGUCCUGUGAUAACUAAAAACUUUUUAUUGGAAAUAUUUGAUACAAAAAUCCAGAAAAACAAUUUUAAUUUUAUUUUCUUUAGAAUUUAUGCUUAAACAAUUCACAUUCUUUGUUGCAAAUUAUUAGUACUAAAUAUAUAUAAUUUUAGUGAAUAAAUUAUUGGUUUAGAAAAAUAA